RNAcentral lists this long non-coding RNA (432 nucleotides) under Trifolium pratense (red clover). Its description in RNAcentral is "long non-coding RNA (TPRA_LNC014200)". The record is from RNAcentral. Lineage: Eukaryota; Viridiplantae; Streptophyta; Magnoliopsida; Fabales; Fabaceae.
CUAAAAAUACCUCCACAAGAGGCAUUACCUGAGUUUCCAUUUGAUGCACCAUCAACAUUGCAUUUUAACCAGUUCACAAGAGGAGGCAACCAGCAGGCUUCUUUAAAAUAAGUAGGUUUGGGCUGGUGAAUAUUAAUUCUAAAAAACUUCAAGAAGUUGAAAUCUCUUAUAGAAUUAGAGGAAGAUUUGCAAGUGUUGUUACCUGUAAGAGUGGUAUUAUCUAUGAUCAUUGCAAUAGCAGAAUCCCAAGACAUCAACUUGUUGUUAAAUCUAGCUUGAUUUCUGACAAACCAUAAAGUAUUGAUCAAGUUUAUGAUGGCAGCAGUUAAGGUAGUCUUGCACUAAGGAGACCAGUUUAAAUCACAUAGCUUCCAUAUGUCCUCAAUGGAGGAAAAUUGAAGGACCAAGUUUAGACAACCAGCCAGCCAAGAC